This is a non-coding RNA of Myodes glareolus (Bank vole), 1358 nucleotides long. NCBI's taxonomy places the organism in Eukaryota, Metazoa, Chordata, Mammalia, Rodentia, Cricetidae. The record is from RefSeq and is a predicted model, not a curated record.
UCUUACUCUGUAGUGAUAUUGGACUGCUAAGGCUGGCCCUGUCCUUCUUCACGUGAACUCCAGGAAAACAGCGGUGCCUAUGGAACCAACGGCUCGCGCCACAGCAGCUGACACUGGGGAAGCGGCUCAGCUAUCAGACUAGCGUUCACCUCAUCCUGUGGGUCCCCUGUGCCUACGGAAUCUGGGUCUAGUCUGGACCUUCUUGCCUGACUGAAUUCUGGCAGUCUCUGAGACCGCAGUGAGCAGUAACCACGGCUCGAGCUCCGGUCAGCUCCGGUCUGGGACGCCCUUCCUUCUCAUCACCUGCAAGCCUUCACGACUACAUAACUCCCCUUGGAACAAGCUGCAGUAGAGCCCUCCCUGCUCCCCCACCCCCACCCCGUGUGGGCUGCUGCCCUGGGGCUGUCAGUGAGACAGGGUGCGGCCAACCUCCAACAGCAUGGAUGUGAUUGACAGUUGUUCUCAUAAAUCACCUAUCCAGCAGGUUGUGGACCCUGGAACUCAUCUGUGUCAGGAGCAUUAACACUUCACACGUUCCUACGGAGAAGUCUGACAGGCCGACAAGCGGGUAGAAAAGCCUGGAUCGGUUCCUCCAGGUCACCGAGGAGUGAAGCAAUUGUGAGCUGCAUCCUUCUGGCAAAAACACUUCCCCUCCACGUUACAAUAAAAACCCAAUUUCAUAGUAUGCAAUAUAAAUGUUAGGGGCGCCUGUAAGCGUUCAUUUUUCCAUUGCAACCUUGGGAUAUUCUUACUAGCAAAUGGGCUUGUUUUCAAUAAACGGUGAAAUAAAAAUCACGGUCCCUAAGUUGAGGUGGAAAACAACACUUAACGACUCCUUUUGCUGCUUAUGCCAGCUCGUUUUCCCCUUCAGCACACGGCACGCAUAAACGCUGAUAGAAAGGGCAGUAGCUUGUAUUUUGGGACCAGGGUGUUUUGAUGAUAGCGGUCCACUGAACCCUGGGUGGAAUGUCUCGGUUGCACUUAAAUGUUAGCGAGAUGAGCCGACUAUGCCAGGAAAUGUCUUCAAAGAAGGAUCAAGUUAUGCAAUGUAAGGUCAAGGGUGAGGUUGUGUGGCCCUCCUCGCCUCCCUCUCCAAACUUCUAGACACAACAAGUAUUGCUCCAAGUUGCCUGGAGCCUAAGGGUCAGGAAAACUAGGGCAGAAUGUAUCAUGUCACGGGUAACAGAUGCAUAAACCUGAGGCCCUUCUGGGCCAUGGAGGCCACCUUCCUUGUUAUACAGACUAAGGCAUGAAGAAGCUGUAUGUUGUACUUACAGGGACUAGUGAGGAAUCAGGUGGAAACAGAAUCCUGACCCCCAGCCAUUCUGCUGUCUUUUGUGGAAGCCAUGAAUCCUGAA